Molecule: long non-coding RNA, 763 nt
Organism: Leguminivora glycinivorella
Lineage: Eukaryota; Metazoa; Arthropoda; Insecta; Lepidoptera; Tortricidae
Exons: 6
Source: RefSeq, a predicted model, not a curated record
UCCGUGAUUGUGCUCUAUGUGAUUAAUAAUAAUACCUUUUCGUGACACAAUUUACUGAAAAAGACGGCGGAACCGUAUCAUUACUAUGAUUAGUGAACAACCAGUGGUUUACGACAAGGCGGUGCGAAGAGUCCUGACCACCCGUUAAGGGAACCAAAGCAUUUGAUAAGGUUUUAGCUGAUGCCCAGACACCAGACGAAAAGUGGAAACUUUACAACGUCCAAUUGAUUAGAGAGAAAUUCUUCAAGGGGUUUUAAUCGCAUAAUCACGAUUUUACAUACAUACAUACUAUCACGCCUGUAUUCCAUGAAGGGGUAAGCAGAGCACAUGAAACUUCUCAAGUUUCAGUGCCACUCAUGGCAAAUAAGGGGCUGAAAGAAAACGAAACUGUGACACGAUUUUAUUUUCAUAAAAUGACUGAGGACCCCUUCCAUUGAUAUGAAUGCACGGAACCACAAGCCGGCUUCUUUUCUGCGUUGGGGUCCUCAGAUUUGGAGGUUACGUUCUGAUGCUUUCCGAGCUUGGACUAGUGGACAGGAGGCUGUAGCGACCGGUAUGGAAGAGCUCCCAUUCCCGUAGCUGCAGCUUCCACCUCCCCUAAAUUCGGUUACUCAUGAUAGUCGUCAAUCUCAGCCAAACAUUGCCCAAGAAACCGCUUCAAUAGCAGAAAGGACCCUCUCAUUACUGACUGUAGCAGAUGAGCUUCCCAUCUUGACAAACAGUGACAACAGACUGCAAGAUUUGGCAGAAGACGGCGACGGAC